Molecule: long non-coding RNA, 206 nt
Filed under: Capsicum annuum
Lineage: Eukaryota; Viridiplantae; Streptophyta; Magnoliopsida; Solanales; Solanaceae
Description: long non-coding RNA (CANN_LNC004411)
Source: RNAcentral
AGGAGAACAAAGAAGGAAAAGGAAAAAAGAAACAAAAGAAUUUCCCGGAGAACUAAUGAUUAGUUCAAGUCAUUAACGAUACUUGAUAUGUUCCCUACACUAGGAAUUUCCCAUUUUUUAAGACUUAUUUUGGGCAAUGACAACAUGUUUUUGGUGGUUUGUCGUGAAGUACGGGCUUUAUCAUGCAGGUGGGUAGUUGGUUCUGC